RNAcentral lists this small nuclear RNA (163 nucleotides) under Sorex araneus (European shrew). Its description in RNAcentral is "U1 spliceosomal RNA (ENSSARG00000015371.1)". It matches the Rfam family "U1 spliceosomal RNA". Rfam says of the family: U1 is a small nuclear RNA (snRNA) component of the spliceosome (involved in pre-mRNA splicing). Lineage: Eukaryota; Metazoa; Chordata; Mammalia; Eulipotyphla; Soricidae. The record is from RNAcentral.
AUACUUAGCUGGCAGGGAAGAUUUCACAAUAAUUAAGGUGGUUUUCCUAGGACAAGGCUUAUCCAUUGCCCUGUGGAUGUGCAAAGUCCCUCAGUAUCCCCAGAUGUGGGAAUCUCAACUGCAGAAUUUGUAUUAGUGGGGAACUGUGUUCACACUCUCCUCU